GUUAAGCGACUAAGCGUACACGGUGGAUGCCCUGGCAGUCAGAGGCGAUGAAGGACGUGCUAAUCUGCGAUAAGCGUCGGUAAGGUGAUAUGAACCGUUAUAACCGGCGAUUUCCGAAUGGGGAAACCCAGUGUGUUUCGACACACUAUCAUUAACUGAAUCCAUAGGUUAAUGAGGCGAACCGGGGGAACUGAAACAUCUAAGUACCCCGAGGAAAAGAAAUCAACCGAGAUUCCCCCAGUAGCGGCGAGCGAACGGGGAGCAGCCCAGAGCCUGAAUCAGUGUGUGUGUUAGUGGAAGCGUCUGGAAAGGCGCGCGAUACAGGGUGACAGCCCCGUACACAAAAAUGCACAUGCUGUGAGCUCGAUGAGUAGGGCGGGACACGUGGUAUCCUGUCUGAAUAUGGGGGGACCAUCCUCCAAGGCUAAAUACUCCUGACUGACCGAUAGUGAACCAGUACCGUGAGGGAAAGGCGAAAAGAACCCCGGCGAGGGGAGUGAAAAAGAACCUGAAACCGUGUACGUACAAGCAGUGGGAGCACGCUUAGGCGUGUGACUGCGUACCUUUUGUAUAAUGGGUCAGCGACUUAUAUUCUGUAGCAAGGUUAACCGAAUAGGGGAGCCGAAGGGAAACCGAGUCUUAACUGGGCGUUAAGUUGCAGGGUAUAGACCCGAAACCCGGUGAUCUAGCCAUGGGCAGGUUGAAGGUUGGGUAACACUAACUGGAGGACCGAACCGACUAAUGUUGAAAAAUUAGCGGAUGACUUGUGGCUGGGGGUGAAAGGCCAAUCAAACCGGGAGAUAGCUGGUUCUCCCCGAAAGCUAUUUAGGUAGCGCCUCGUGAAUUCAUCUCCGGGGGUAGAGCACUGUUUCGGCAAGGGGGUCAUCCCGACUUACCAACCCGAUGCAAACUGCGAAUACCGGAGAAUGUUAUCACGGGAGACACACGGCGGGUGCUAACGUCCGUCGUGAAGAGGGAAACAACCCAGACCGCCAGCUAAGGUCCCAAAGUCAUGGUUAAGUGGGAAACGAUGUGGGAAGGCCCAGACAGCCAGGAUGUUGGCUUAGAAGCAGCCAUCAUUUAAAGAAAGCGUAAUAGCUCACUGGUCGAGUCGGCCUGCGCGGAAGAUGUAACGGGGCUAAACCAUGCACCGAAGCUGCGGCAGCGACGCUGAUGCGUUGUUGGGUAGGGGAGCGUUCUGUAAGCCUGCGAAGGUGUGCUGUGAGGCAUGCUGGAGGUAUCAGAAGUGCGAAUGCUGACAUAAGUAACGAUAAAGCGGGUGAAAAGCCCGCUCGCCGGAAGACCAAGGGUUCCUGUCCAACGUUAAUCGGGGCAGGGUGAGUCGACCCCUAAGGCGAGGCCGAAAGGCGUAGUCGAUGGGAAACAGGUUAAUAUUCCUGUACUUGGUGUUACUGCGAAGGGGGGACGGAGAAGGCUAUGUUGGCCGGGCGACGGUUGUCCCGGUUUAAGCGUGUAGGCUGGUUUUCCAGGCAAAUCCGGAAAAUCAAGGCUGAGGCGUGAUGACGAGGCACUACGGUGCUGAAGCAACAAAUGCCCUGCUUCCAGGAAAAGCCUCUAAGCAUCAGGUAACAUCAAAUCGUAC
This 1603-nucleotide ribosomal RNA is filed under the name Escherichia coli. Its description in RNAcentral is "partial 23S ribosomal RNA". It matches the Rfam family "Bacterial large subunit ribosomal RNA", at positions 1 to 1647 of the family's 2925-position model. Lineage: Bacteria; Pseudomonadati; Pseudomonadota; Gammaproteobacteria; Enterobacterales; Enterobacteriaceae. The record is from RNAcentral.